Molecule: long non-coding RNA, 557 nt
Filed under: Heterocephalus glaber (naked mole-rat)
Lineage: Eukaryota; Metazoa; Chordata; Mammalia; Rodentia; Bathyergidae
Description: lncRNA (ENSHGLG00000026301.2)
Source: RNAcentral
AAACAAAACCGCCUAACUUCGUGGCUCCAGUGGAAUCUCUCAGGUGAGUCCAGCCCAAGAUUCUGACUCACAGAAGAUUUGAUGUCAUGAAGUGGAAAUGGCCAAAGAUCCAGUAAGAAUGAUGUAAAGUCCAAUUAUCAUGCAAAGACAUUCUGGAGAAUUGCAAAGUGAGUGAAGCCAGAAGAGGAGCACUUCAAAAGCCCUUUGGAGACACGGAAUCACAGCUCUGUGAGGGCCAGAGCUAUGGAAAUCGGAGGAAAUUGGACUUCACCGUGUUGGUGGCACACCCUGCCACCCUUGCCAGGAAAGGAAACGGGAAAAGGAAUCUGAGAAACCUCAGGACAAUUACAGUUCAUUUCCAUACCCUGACUGACAAUGUACUACCUCCUGCUACGGACCGACGUAAGCCUCUUGUCACACCAAGCUCUUAGGCAAAUGGAAUGGGACCAGAUGCAAGCGAUUUAAUAAGAACUUUGCAUAAGUAAUUAUUUAGUUAUUGAUUGUUGCUUGGAGCUGUAUCAUUCUGAAUGGUUCAAAAGCUUGCAUCCUAAACUAAG